UACGUAGGGGCGAGCGUUGUCCGGAAUGAUUGGGCGUAAAGGGCGCGUAGGCGGCUGUGCAAGUCAGUAGUGGAAGCCCAGCUUUUAAGGUUGGAAGUGCUAUUGAAACUGUGCAGCUUGAGUGUCGGAGAGGUAAGCGGAAUUCCUAGUGUAGCGGUGAAAUGCGUAGAUAUUAGGAGGAACACCGGUGGCGAAGGCGGCUUACUGGACGAUGACUGACGUUGAGGCUCGAAAGCGUGGGGAGCAAACAGGAUUAGAUACCCCGGUAGU
This 270-nucleotide ribosomal RNA is filed under the name uncultured prokaryote. RNAcentral's name for it is "partial 16S ribosomal RNA". It matches the Rfam family "Bacterial small subunit ribosomal RNA", at positions 524 to 794 of the family's 1533-position model. The record is from RNAcentral.